This is a long non-coding RNA of Cavia porcellus (domestic guinea pig), 5130 nucleotides long. RefSeq lists it as uncharacterized. The transcript has 2 exons. The record is from RefSeq and is a predicted model, not a curated record. Lineage: Eukaryota; Metazoa; Chordata; Mammalia; Rodentia; Caviidae.
UUUAAGGCAAUGAUGAAAGCACUAAACGGGACACAGUGAAAACUGUUGUCCGAGGGUAGCCUCUUUUGAAGGUAUUCUUUUCCCCAUUAACAGGUGUCAUAUUCAUAUCUAUACUGUCCUCCCCUCUGAGCUUGCUUUACUAACACUAGAAGAGCCGGAAGGAUUCCAACAAGGCACCAAGAGUUCCAGACAGCAAACAGAAUCACAGUGGCCGGGCAAGUCGCUGCUCCAUGGGGAAUGCACGGCACAGGAACAAGAACAGAAGCCGGAGACCUGUUAGCAGCUGACGGUGCCCUGGGGAAGGAUGAUGCUGGCCUGCACUUCAGGAUGGUGGUGAGCAAAAUAAGAAGUAGACAGGCAUGAGAUAGAAUUUUGUUUCUGAAACAGUGUAGAAGCUUUGUCUGGAUCACCGGAGUUUUGUUACUGUUAUUUUAUUACUCUUAAACACAAAGCUUGCAGACAGUGCGGACUUGUUCUAGCUCACAAGACCAGUGAAUAAGCCAGUGCAAAAUUCCAGCUAUGUCUAGGCACCGCUAUCGCCAUCCACAAAGUGCCCUACCUAAGGUCUUUUUUCCUCCCAGUCUUUUCUGCAUGUAACAGCCAUUCUAAUCUUCCUCAAACACUGCUUUCAUCAUGUUUACCUUGCUGAUAAGCCGGUGUGUGUAUUCACAGAGUUAUUGAGUAAUUGCAGUAACUGGGCUGGUAUGGGUGGGUGGGGUUUACAUACCUGAGAUACAUCUCUUGCCUCUAGGAUGUUAGAGUUUACCUGUGGGGACAUCACUAACCCCUAUGAAGUAAUGGAGAGUGUCUUAGUCACUUCUGGGUAAUUGAGAUAAAAUACCUAACACAAUUUAAAAGAGGAGAAGUGUAUUUUGGCUUCCAGUGUUUAGAUGAUUCAGUUCAUCCUUGGUGAACUCUGAGGCAGGAAGGGCAUGGUACAAGGAUCUGGGCACCAGAGGGCUGCUCAUCCCAUGGCAGCCACGAAGCAGAGAGAGAAGGGAGGCAUUGGGGACAAGAACACCCUUCCAGGUCACACCUCAGUGACCCACCUCCAACCAGGUCCCACCUCCUGACAGUACCUUCAGCUGUGAACUCACCAGGGGACUAAUAAGCUGAUUUUUAUGUACCCAUGGGUACUCACAAUCUAAUCAUCUUCUACACACUUGAGAAACUGGGGAGACCUUUUAGAUCUAAAGUGUAACAGAGGCAAAAAUAAAAAAGAGAUGAUGUAAUUAACAGGGUCUUCAUAAAAAUGACUUCUAUAACUUGAAAGAAAGAGAAUUUCAGCAAACACAAACAAAAAAAGGUGUUGGCUAAGAAAGAAAUAGGACAUACGAUAUUGUUUCCAUGGUAGAACGAGAGGAUUCCCUUGAGAAGAGAGCAUCUGCUAUGAGAAGUGGAGAAGCAAACUCGUUGGGUAAGCUGGGAGUGCUGGUGCACACUUAUAAUUCCAGCACUUGGGGAGGCUGAAGCAGGAGAACCACACUUUUGAGACCAGUUAGACUGUACAGCAAGACCCUGCCUCAAAAAAGAAAAAAAAAAAAAGGCUACCAGGUUUAGUCAUGGGGCUAAGAUGGUACCAGAACAUGGAUUUCUCAAAAGCUGGGAAUCAAGCAUUUGGACUUGAUUCAACCAAAUAUAAAUGUUAUUAAAGAUUUGUGGGCAAGGUUAAGUAUUAGUGAAGACUUAGCUGAGACCAGCAAUCAUUUCACCCUGCAAUUUCUAAGAAUUUAUCAUCUUUCAGAAUUCAUUAGGCACUUACCUUGCAACUGUUUGCUUUGUAACAUACACACCCUGUAUGUGUGCAACCAGCAUGGAAUAGGUGCAGGGAAAACAUUUGACGAGGAGGAAAGAACUGCACAAGGAAUAUUUAACAAUAGUAUGGCCUGGAUUGAAAAGAAAGCUAAGGAGAGGAGUGAGGAAGCUAUUUCAGAAAAAUAGCUGUGAAAGAAGAAAGGAAGAAGGGGUAGAUAUGAGAAAAUACUUUGAAAAUACGACUAAAGGUGCUGUAACUACAGAUAACUACAGAGGUUCCCUGAGAUAGUCCACUUAGAAUCCAAUGUAAUACAGAGUGGGGAGGCCCAAACAGAGGGAGAUUAAUUCUCUCAUCCCAAGAAGAAAUUAAAGUGACUUGCCGAGCCGUCCGAGGUCCCGCUGCUUGGACUCUCUGGAGGCACAGUUACAUUGAGUUCGAGAGUCAGUGAGCUGAACAGAGAGCUGAGUUGGCAGGGUGCCUACAUUGACCUGUGGUGAGCGACGGGAGUGGAGCCAUUCCAUAAAUAGGGGGGCUCCGGCAGAUGACAUUCUGGGACCAGGCAGGACUGGCAAGUACAAGGGGCAGCAGGGACUUCAGUCAGUUGUUCCCUUCCCAAACAGGAUUGGUGGACUGAGCUAGGCCUGGGUCACAUGACCUGGCUGACACCCUAUAGGUUAUCUGAAAUCAAGUCCCUACAGCUGUGGCACACACUAACCACACUAACCCAGUGAAAUCUCAGAAGAUUGACUGACCCGGAGGGAAGGUGGUGCAAAGUAAUAUAGUGCAGGCCACAGCAGCUUGACUGACCCGGAGGGGAGGGGCCAGCAUAUGCUGUCCUUGUCUGCAACUCACUAGCACACUGCAGUGUGAAGGGUCAUCUAGCCAGCGCACUUCAGAAGAAUUGUAACCAACAAAGAAAGAAACUGGGGCCUCCUUGGAAGAAGCAAAAAAGAUGGGAAGAGGGAGCAACAACAAAAAGUCCCCAGGUCCCAACCCUGAGAACAUUGACCCAGGAUAGGUAAAUACAAAGGAGAAUGAGAACAGCAAACAUGCAGUAUCAGAUACAGCGCCAGUGGACAUAAAGAGAUGUGUUCGGGACCUCAUAGAUGAGUUCAAAAGUGAAAUAUUAAGCCAAAUAAAGCAAGAUAUAAGAAGAUUAAUAAAAGAGAUACUAAGCACCCCUCAAGCAGACACAGAUGGAAGAAAGGAGGAACUCAAACAAAGGAGAGAACCAUUUGGUGAUGAAUAUAAAAAAAUAUAGAAUACAUGAAGCAGAUUCAAAGAGAUCACCAGAAAAUUUAAAAUUCUAUGGAAAGAUGGUAAAUCAGCUUGAAAGAAACUAAGGAUAGAUAAUCCAAACUGGAGGACAAUUUUGCAAUGUGGGAGUAUAAAAGGGAAAACUUUUAAAAAAUAACAAGGAAACAAGCAGUAACAAUACAAAGGCUAGAAGAUGACAAAAGGAUCUAUAACUUGAGAAUAAAGAAUGUGAAUGAAGAAGCUGGGGUACAAACAAUGGAACUACAAAGGUUAUUCACAGAAAUAAUUAAGAAAAGCUUCCCAAACAUAGGAAAAGGAAAUGAUAUUCUGAUAUAUGAGGCAUACAGAACUCCAGCCACCUAAAACAGAGCUACACCCAGGCAUAUAAUAAUCAAAAUCCCAGAAAUUCAAUAUAAGAACAGAAUAUUAAAAGCUGUUAGAGACAAGAAACAGAUAACCUACAGAGGAAGGCCCAUCAGAAUAACGGUAGACUUCUUGACACAAACCAUCAAGUCAAGAAGAAUCUAGAGUGAAAUAUUCCAAGCCCUGAAAGAAAAUAACCUCCAUCCCAGAUUGAUAUACCCUGCUAAACUGUAUCUAGAAAUUAUAUGGAGAAACAAGAUGCUUCCAAGACAAAGAGGAACUUGGGAAAUUCGCAACCACCAAUCCAACUCUACAGAGAAUACUGCAGGGCAUUCUAGAGAAAAAGAAAAGUACUAGGAUUCCAGGAACAGUGGCAGAGAGGCCUCAAUGAAUGGAGCAGAAAACAGAAUGAAGAAGAUAAGCAGACAACUGAUGGCUAAAAAAGAGCAUAACAAAAAUGAGGCAGAGAAGAUUUUUUUCAGAACUGAUAUGAUUGAUAGUAUCAAGUCUGAGAGUAUAGGCAACUACACUGAAGAUGUUAAGACUCUAUGAUACACAUUCUGGUUUGAUAACCACUGGUUUUUGAAGUUCUAUACUAUAUACAAAGUUGUGUUUUAUUAAUACUGUUAUGUGCUGAUAUAUUCAAUUAUACUAUGUCUGAUGAUAUAGCCAAUUCUAUUGGAGAUAACAAGAGACAACACAGGAACCAUGUUAGAACACUUUGUACAAUGGUCUUAUAUUGUUUAUUUUGGUCUUAUACUGUUUAUUUUGUUUCAUGUGUUUACAGGAAUACGUUUUGUUUUGCCUUGCUUUGGUUUGUUUCUCCCUCUAAUACAGAAAGGAUAGAAAUACAUGUUAAGACUCAUGCAUGUGUAGAAUCUAUAAACAGUUUAUGAGAACUGAUCUUAUGACACAUGAUGAAAUGAAUAGAUACUUUGAAGAAAAAGAUACACUAAAAUAUCCAGUGCUGAUCCUGGAAUGUCAUAAUGUGAAACCCAGCAAUAGUAUUAUUCUUUGUUCAGAGUGAUAUUAGCCUGCUUGGGUUUAUUCAAUAUCAACGUAAUUGAAGAUAUGGAUAACUGCAUGUAUGUUUAAGUGUAUAGGAUUGAUAACCAUAUUUCUAAGUUUUUGUUGGAUAGUUGAACAGAACUGGUUGCAGUCUCACUGUUUGAAUCCCCACUUUAUAUGCUCCACUUUAGUAUCUUGAAAAACUAUUUGUAAGAAGACAAUCUGUAAUCAUCAACUAGUGAUUUCUUACUGUUUAUUUUUUCUUUGAAAUUAUGUAUUAUUUCUACUAGUUUUCUGUUUUGUUUAUUCUUUCUUUAAAUUAAAUCUUAAAAAAAAGACACUACAGUACCCAAUGCUGAUCACGGAGUGUCAUGAUAUGAAAUCCAACAAUACUAUUAUUCUUUGUUCAGAAUGAUUUUAACCUGCUUUAGUUGUUUAAUCUAAACAUGGAUGAAGAUAUGGAUAUGCAUGUAUGCUUAAGUGUAUAGGAUUGACAACCAUGUUACUAAGUUUUUGUUGGACAGUUGAACAGAACUGUUUGCAGUCUCUCUGUUUGAAUUCACACUUUACAUGUUCCAUUUUUGUAUCUUGAACAACUGUUUGUAAAAUGACAAUAUAUAAACAUGAACUAGCGAUUUUUUACUAUUUAUUUAUUUUCUCUGAAUGUAUGUAUUUUUUCUACCUAUUUUCUGUUUUGUUUAGUCUUUCUUUAAAUAAAAUUUUUUAAAAAAAUGUGCUGUAACCAA